GUGUCAGCAGCCGCGGUAAUACCAGCUCCCUGAGUGGUAGGGACGAUUAUUUGGCCUAAAGCGUCCGUAGCCGGUUUAGCCAGUCUCUCGUUAAAUCCGACGAUUCAAUCGUUGGCCUGCGGGAGAUACUACUAGACUUGAGGACGGGAGAGGUCGACGGUAGUCCUGGGGUAGGGGUGAAAUCCUAUAAUCCUAGGAGGACCACCAGUGGCGAAGGCGGUCGACUAGAACGUGCCUGACGGUGAUGGACGAAAGCUGGGGGAGCGAACCGGAUUAGACACCCGGGUAGUCCCAGCUGUAAACGAUGCGGGCUAGGUGUUGGGGUAGCUACGAGCUACUCCAGUGCCGCAGAGAAGUCGUUAAGCCCGCCGCCUGGGAAGUACGGCCGCAAGGCUGAAACUCAAAUGAAUUGGCGGGG
This 418-nucleotide ribosomal RNA is filed under the name uncultured prokaryote. RNAcentral's name for it is "bacterial SSU rRNA". It matches the Rfam family "Archaeal small subunit ribosomal RNA", at positions 455 to 873 of the family's 1478-position model. The record is from RNAcentral.